RNAcentral lists this long non-coding RNA (1192 nucleotides) under Homo sapiens (human). RNAcentral describes it as "HSALNT0400920". Lineage: Eukaryota; Metazoa; Chordata; Mammalia; Primates; Hominidae. The record is from RNAcentral.
GUAUUUCCGCCGGCGCGAAACGAGCGUAGCUUCCUUGUCGUGUGGCCUCAGUCCUUCGCCGUCCCUCGCCGUCCUUCGCCAUCGCACGCCACCGCACCCCAUCUCUCGAAAUCUGCAGACAUCUUGAUUUUUCCCACGCUGUCUGUCAGGUCUCCGCCGCCACUCGACGCCAGGGCGCCGGGUGAGUCCACAGCAGGGCGCAUGGUCGGCUCCACUCUCACCAUCGGGGGAAACUGAGGCCCCGGGGAAGGCGGCCAGAGAGGUCAGGCCCUGUCCUUGGUGCAGUGUCUCGUCCUCUUUGCCGGAGUGAGCCCCCCAGGAUUCGCGUGUCCUCGGGAAAGACACUGGCAGGCCUUGUGGGCUGUGCUGCACCUCGGACGGCUUCGCACCAGCCAGCGCCCUCUCUCUCCUGCAGCACUCUGAUCUGCACCCCCUGAGGGGCUUCCACUGUCCGCGGGGUGAGAAUGCCCCUGGGAGUGUCACAUGACUGCCGCCCCAUGUGUGUGAGAGGCGUCCUCUGGGAGAGCAUGGAUCCUGAGGUCCCAGGAUUGUCAGCUGACCUCUGUCCUGUGUGCCCAGUGGCCCCAGGUGACGUGUCUUCAAGAAGAGGCUGAGCUGCGGUGCUUGUAAGAGUCAUGUGCUGUUCCUGGGGCUUGGAUGAUGUAGGGGAAGCAAGGUGAAAGUGGUAUCCCGUGGUUCCACGUUCUGUCCUGCUGUGGGGCUGUCCCUCACAUGCUUUCAGUGGCUGUUGCAGAGGAAGAGCCUCCGGAAAUCUGCGUGGGUAAAGUCUCAGCCUUAGAUCCAAGGACAGUCCAAGGAAGUCCUAAGACCAUGGAGUUGGUGAUCUGGGAUCUGGGUUUGCUGAUAUUUCUCACCGUGAAUCUCUUGGUGGUGUUUGUGGGCACGAGAGGGGCAGAGAAUGGAGAGUGAGGCUACCACAUGAAGCGUCACCAGAGCUGCUCCCUGCUGCCUGCUCAGAGCACCCCGGAUCCACUGUUCAAUCUGCACAAGAUUCGGGGUCCAGACAUGGGAGACUUCAGCUGCCUCAGAGGACCGUGGACAGGGAAGGCCAGCCUCGCAUCCCUCUGUCCAUGCCUGGAAUGACUUUAAUAACCAAGAGUUUUAUUUUUGAAUUUGUAGCUGUCGUUCACUUUUUACCCACCCAUUCAAUAAACCUUACAGAAUUGCUCCA